This 450-nucleotide ribosomal RNA is filed under the name uncultured Archaeospora. Its description in RNAcentral is "SSU rRNA". It matches the Rfam family "Eukaryotic small subunit ribosomal RNA", at positions 569 to 1023 of the family's 1831-position model. The record is from RNAcentral. Lineage: Eukaryota; Fungi; Glomeromycota; Glomeromycetes; Archaeosporales; Archaeosporaceae.
AGCAGCCGCGGUAAUUCCAGCUCCAAUAGCGUAUAUUAAAGUUGUUGCAGUUAAAAAGCUCGUAGUUGAAUUUUAGGCCUGGCCAGGCGGUCCGUCUUUGGCGAGUACUGUCUUGUUGUCGGGUCUUCCUUCUGGUGAACCAGUAUGUCCUUUAUUGGGUGUGUUGGGGAGCCAGGACCAUUACCUUGAAAAAUUAGAGUGUUUAAAGCGGGCUAUUGCUUGAAUAGAUUAGCAUGGAAUAAUAGAAUAGGACGUUGUGGUUCUAUUUUGUUGGUUUCUAGGACCACCGUAAUGAUUAAUAGGGAUAGUUGGGGGCAUUAGUAUUCAAUUGUCAGAGGUGAAAUUCUUGGAUUUAUUGAAGACUAACUAUUGCGAAAGCAUUUGCCAAGGAUGUUUUCAUUAAUCAAGAACGAAAGUUAGGGGAUCGAAGACGAUCAGAUACCGUCGUAG